This 315-nucleotide small nucleolar RNA is filed under the name Cyanoderma ruficeps (rufous-capped babbler). RNAcentral's name for it is "Small Cajal body-specific RNA 2 (ENSCRFG00000014467.1)". It matches the Rfam family "Small Cajal body-specific RNA 2". Lineage: Eukaryota; Metazoa; Chordata; Aves; Passeriformes; Timaliidae. The record is from Rfam by way of RNAcentral.
CAGGUUCGGAAGUAGCGGACGUUUGUAGCAGUGGCUUGUGUGCGUGCGUGGUUGUGUGCGUGUGAUUGUGUGUGUGUGCGUGCGCGCGCGAGCGUGCGUGUGUGUGAGCGAGUCCGGGGUGUCAGUGUAUGUGUGAGGUGCCAGCCACCCUUCUUCCCCUACACGUUGAUCUUAUUCGAUCGGCCGGGCCCCGCCGGGCCGAGGUGAGAAGAAAAUGCCGCGAAGCCUCCGGGCGCUGUGCGGCUGGGCCGGGUGGGAUGAGUCGAUCAGAUAGGCGAGGCCACGGCCGCUGAGCGCCCUGCGAUUCUGACCCGU